Molecule: ribosomal RNA, 1546 nt
Filed under: Enterobacter hormaechei
Lineage: Bacteria; Pseudomonadati; Pseudomonadota; Gammaproteobacteria; Enterobacterales; Enterobacteriaceae
Description: bacterial SSU rRNA
Rfam family: Bacterial small subunit ribosomal RNA
Source: RNAcentral
AAAUUGAAGAGUUUGAUCAUGGCUCAGAUUGAACGCUGGCGGCAGGCCUAACACAUGCAAGUCGAACGGUAACAGGAAGCAGCUUGCUGCUUUGCUGACGAGUGGCGGACGGGUGAGUAAUGUCUGGGAAACUGCCUGAUGGAGGGGGGAUAACUACUGGAAACGGUAGCUAAUACCGCAUAACGUCGCAAGACCAAAGAGGGGGACCUUCGGGCCUCUUGCCAUCGGAUGUGCCCAGAUGGGAUUAGCUAGUAGGUGGGGUAACGGCUCACCUAGGCGACGAUCCCUAGCUGGUCUGAGAGGAUGACCAGCCACACUGGAACUGAGACACGGUCCAGACUCCUACGGGAGGCAGCAGUGGGGAAUAUUGCACAAUGGGCGCAAGCCUGAUGCAGCCAUGCCGCGUGUAUGAAGAAGGCCUUCGGGUUGUAAAGUACUUUCAGCGGGGAGGAAGGCGAUAAGGUUAAUAACCUUGUCGAUUGACGUUACCCGCAGAAGAAGCACCGGCUAACUCCGUGCCAGCAGCCGCGGUAAUACGGAGGGUGCAAGCGUUAAUCGGAAUUACUGGGCGUAAAGCGCACGCAGGCGGUCUGUCAAGUCGGAUGUGAAAUCCCCGGGCUCAACCUCGGGAACUGCAUUCGAAACUGGCAGGCUAGAGUCUUGUAGAGGGGGGUAGAAUUCCGGUGUAGCGGUGAAAUGCGUAGAGAUCUGGAGGAAUACCGGUGGCGAAGGCGGCCCCCCUGGACAAAGACUGACGCUCAGGUGCGAAAGCGUGGGGAGCAAACAGGAUUAGAUACCCUCGGUAGUCCACGCCGUAAACGAUGUCGACUUGGAGGUUGUGCCCUUGAGGCGUGGCUUCCGGAGCUAACGCGUUAAGUCGACCGCCCUGGGGAGUACGGCCGCAAGGUUAAAACUCAAAUGAAUUGACGGGGGCCCGCACAAGCGGUGGAGCAUGUGGUUUAAUUCGAUGCAACGCGAAGAACCUUACCUACUCUUGACAUCCAGAGAACUUUCCAGAGAUGGAUUGGUGCCUUCGGGAACUCUGAGACAGGUGCUGCAUGGCUGUCGUCAGCUCGUGUUGUGAAAUGUUGGGUUAAGUCCCGCAACGAGCGCAACCCUUAUCCUUUGUUGCCAGCGGUUAGGCCGGGAACUCAAAGGAGACUGCCAGUGAUAAACUGGAGGAAGGUGGGGAUGACGUCAAGUCAUCAUGGCCCUUACGAGUAGGGCUACACACGUGCUACAAUGGCGCAUACAAAGAGAAGCGACCUCGCGAGAGCAAGCGGACCUCAUAAAGUGCGUCGUAGUCCGGAUUGGAGUCUGCAACUCGACUCCAUGAAGUCGGAAUCGCUAGUAAUCGUGGAUCAGAAUGCCACGGUGAAUACGUUCCCGGGCCUUGUACACACCGCCCGUCACACCAUGGGAGUGGGUUGCAAAAGAAGUAGGUAGCUUAACCUUCGGGAGGGCGCUUACCACUUUGUGAUUCAUGACUGGGGUGAAGUCGUAACAAGGUAACCGUAGGGGAACCUGCGGUUGGAUCACCUCCUUA